CUACAGCCCUUGGCACCGCUUAACAACUUAAGUGAAUUGAACAAUUGCUAACAAUUACCUUCCCUAAACCCUAACAGCCGUCAAAAAUUCUUUCUCAGCAUCUGGGUGACCCAACCAGAAUGAAACAUCCUGUCAACAAUAUCCUGUUGUGGCAGAAAGCGCUCUGUUACAGGUCCUUACAGCUGCUAACAGUCCCUAGAAUCAGACAACUGUUAACUUAAAAAAACCUAACAGCCGUCAAAAAUUCUUUCUCAGCAUCUGGGUGACCCAACCAGAAUGUAACAUCCUGUCAACAAUAUCCUGUUGUGGCAGAAAGCGCUCUGUUACAGGUCCUUACAGCUGCUAACAGUCCCUAGAAUCAGACAACUGUUAACAGUGUGGGCUCCAGGUACAUGUCAGUCACAGGGCCUAACAGGACCAAACAGCCUCUAACCCAGUGUCUAACUGGCUGUUAUGCCACGUUGACAACUAUCGUCAGCAGCUGAUAAUGAGCCCGGCUGACAGCCCCGCCUAAGAAGUUAGCCGCUGUUAGACCCCCUAUGAGUUGGUAGGGGUGGCGGAGCCGUUGUAGUCUAGUUUUCCACUGCAAGUCCUGUCCCACAGUGGAACUACAUGGAUCCCACAGCCACGCCCAGGCGUACCCGGUUAUCCUAAUAUUUUGUGAUAAACGUUUAACCUUGCAAGUUCAAGUCGAACAACACAACUACGCGCGUCUGUUGUUCGUUACCCACCACCGCACCCAGUCGUCCCCAUGGCCUGAUGGCCCAGUAUCCGUGUGUCCCCGCCCACAUGUUCAUGGUACACAUGCACGCGUCCACGCUUCAUGCACACGCCCAUGUUACAUCCUCAUGUCCCGCGUCCACGUGUCCACGCGUCCAUGCUACAUCCACGUGUGGCUACAUCCACGGUGCCACGGUCCCAUGUGCCCACGUGCCCACACGCUCACGCGUCCAUGUGCCCUUGCAUCCUCGCGUCCUCACGUCCUGGUGUCCUCGCGUCCUCGCAUCCUCGCGUGCAACUCGCGUGCGACCCGUGAUUUGAACCCGCGACCUGUCGUCCUCGCGUCCUCGCGUUUCGGUGUGCAACUCGAAAUUCGCGGAGUGCGACUCGAACCCGCGACCUCUGAUUGUGAAGAGGGGGCGCGCUAACGGAAAACGCAAAGCUCCGGAACCAUCCAAUCGAGCGCGACUUUCCAAUGAGCUCCGGACGCGAGCCGGUCACGGACGCGAUUCAGAGAUGCCUUCCCUCCGCUUCGCUCUUCGCUGCGCUACGAGAAGCUACGGUGACAGCAUCCACACCAAAUGCUUGCCCAUGCAUCCGUGAUAAAUGGAUGCUGCAGAGAUUCUGUAAAGAAUCCGCAACUCUUUGCUAAUAAUAAUCGUAACCUGCAUGCAUAAUAUGUGUGAAUUACGGUGUGCAUCAGCGAUGAAAGGGUUGAGAGUCGCUAGUAGUCAACAGUUAUUUUAAUCUGUAUAUGCACCGGCAGCCCCUAUAUCCGUGUUGCCUAACUACCGACAUCAUCCACCAGUACUGGAACACGGUUUCGAUGUUUGUUCGACCAACUCACAUUCCAGCACCCUAUUAGAAGUCAUCCGCCCCACUUUUCGAGUUUUUUGGACAGUUUACCAUGAUACAUGGCCAGAUAGAAAGCUGGCUAAUGUCAGUUGCAUUUGCAGGACCAUUUUUGCUCCAUGCCAGAUUUGAACCUGCAACCUUGUGAUCACAAAUCUUUGUCCUUUAAGAGAUGGCUUAUCUGCCGAUGUUGAGAUCACCAGGUUACAUUCUACAAGCUCCACGCAAGUGUGGGGCCGUCUGUAAAAGCCGGGGCCUCAUGGGAGUGGACAUCAAUGGCCAUUAUUGUGGUGCCGGUCGCGAGUGAGGCAGUUUAUUAACAUCCUCUCCCGCUUGC
This 1909-nucleotide long non-coding RNA is filed under the name Volvox carteri. RNAcentral describes it as "long non-coding RNA (VCAR_LNC003925)". The record is from RNAcentral. Lineage: Eukaryota; Viridiplantae; Chlorophyta; Chlorophyceae; Chlamydomonadales; Volvocaceae.